This is a long non-coding RNA of Passer montanus (Eurasian tree sparrow), 1920 nucleotides long. RefSeq lists it as uncharacterized. Lineage: Eukaryota; Metazoa; Chordata; Aves; Passeriformes; Passeridae. The record is from RefSeq and is a predicted model, not a curated record. The transcript is spliced from 2 exons.
UUUGUGUGGGACAGUGUGGCCCGGCUGCCGUGGGCACAGGCAGCUGAGGUGAGGCAAGUGGGAAGAUGAAGCAGGACACUGAGGCUGCAGUGAGGGGGCUCUCAGCAGGUCCCCUCUGCUCCUGGAGAGGAAGGAGGACUUGGGCUUCCCAGUGGUGUGUGCAAAUCUUACAUCCCUGCUGGCUGCUCCAGCAAGUCCGUGCUGUGCCAUCCCUGUCCCAGCUAUGCCACAGCCAUUGCAGCUGUCCCACUGCAUCACUGCCUGCAGUGACAGCCAUGCAGUCCCUGCCCAUGCCAUGCUCAGGAGCUGAGCUGGCACUGCCACUGCGCUCCCAGCAGCGAUGAUUCCCCAGUACCUCCUCUCAGUCCCACCAGUGCCCCGAGCCCUGGCUUUGCCAAUGAUUAACAGCGGUGGUAUUGCACAAGGGCCAGCGUGAUUGGUGCCAGCGGGUGAGGUGGGGGAGUAUGGUGGGCAGAGCGUGCCCAAGGCCAUCCCCAGGCAGCUGGGGGCCCGUGGAGCUGGGGAUCAUCCCAGCAGGGCUUUGGAGACACAGACGAGCUUGGGGACCCCAGUGAUGCUGCUGGGGACCCGUGACUGGGGAUGCUGGCCCGGGCUCUGUCCCAGGUGAGGCUGCCGGGUCUGGCCGAGGGCUCUCACCUGCCCCGGAACUCCUGGUUGUAGAUGGUCCGCAGCGCUUCCCGCAGGCUUGUCUGCUCCCGGCCCGUGUCCUGCAGGAACUGCACGAACUGAUGCCCCCAAAGACUGGCCUCCGCUACGCUGAACCGCGGCAUGGUUGAGCCGAGCCGAGCCGAGCCGAGCCGAGCCGUGCCGAGCCGAGAUGGUGCCGCGUCCAGGAGUGCCAGCCCUGCUUUGGCCCGUGUGGGAUACAGCCAGGAGUGUCUGAAGCAGGUGUUAAAGACACCGAGGGUGAGUGCAAUGAACUCCUGGCUGCCUUUUUUCCAGGGUGGGGAGCUGCAUUAAAGCUCUGUGAUUGUUUCAGUUUGGAACCUCAGCCCUCCAGUUCCCCUGUGUACCAGGGUUGGAGCAUCACCCAUGGGUCUGGCUGAUACCAUCCCUGCCUUAAUCACAGAACUGUUGAUGUUGGAAAAGACCUUUGAGAUCAUUAAAGUCCAACCAUCGACCCAGCCCCACCACUGUGAUCAGCACUAAACCAGGUCAAGUGCCACAUUCACAUUUUGAACACUUUCAGGGAUGGUGAUGCCAACACUUCCUAGACUUCAGGAAUUAACAGGAGUGAGACCACGAAAGAACAGACACAAAUGGCUUUAAACAAAGACUGGUGUAUUUGCACUAGACUGGUUGAUACAGAGGAUGCCUGAGGGAUGAAUUGUCAGUCUCAGCAGCAAAUACAAAUAUAUUUUAAUUAGAUAAACCCCACAAAGGAUAAACACUUAUUUUGCGGCAUUAUGUGCAAAACCUGAAGUGUAAUGCACAGGCAACCCCACCCCUUCUCUUCCCAACCCUUUUUCCUUUGUGUAUUUAAAAACAAGAAGACAUGAGCCAGUUUAAGAACCAGAACCUGCAAGGCGCCCAGUGAUAACCAAGUGCAAACAAAGCAAAGGGAGUUCACCGAAGGAGGUUCACUUUGUAGUGAAUCUCUGUUCCAAGAUCUGAAAGGCGUAUGUCUAUCUCUUCAUCCUCCCCUUCACAGAAACUGUUAUGACUGCUAGUUUUGAUGUCAGAGGGGGAAAACAGUAAUGCAGAGCAAGCAUGUAGAAGAGAUUAAUUCCAAAGUCCCUUCUAAGCAUGACAAGAAACUGUCCACAACUGAGACAAAUGGAAAGGAUUUUUUCUUUCACUUUGGUGCAAGUUUAUUUAUUUUGUACACUAUCCAUCCAUACACCUGUGAUACAAAUCUAUGAACCUGCCACAAAGCAUUAAAGCACAACAUACCUAUUA